RNAcentral lists this small RNA (618 nucleotides) under Pan troglodytes (chimpanzee). Its description in RNAcentral is "processed transcript". Lineage: Eukaryota; Metazoa; Chordata; Mammalia; Primates; Hominidae. The record is from RNAcentral.
GUGCUACCUGGUCAUUCUGUACCUUUAUUUAAAGAGGCCACACAUCUUUUUUCUGACUUGAAUAAACUGAAACCAGAUGACUCAGGAGUUAAUAUAGCAGAAGCUGCUGCCCAGAACGUGUACUGCUUGAGAACAGAAUACAUUGCUGAUUAUCUCAUGCAGGUAGGAAUCCUCAACCUGUGCCUAGGAUUCAGCAACAAACCACCUGGAACACAUGGUCUCUUAGCACUUGAAGAGGUAGGAAUCCUUACUGUAAAUACAGUACUCAAUUAUACUCAGAUUUAGUAUUUACACUGUUAAGGACUGAGCUUGUCCCCCUAAAAUUCACAGGUUAAAGCCUAACCUGCUAUGUGACUGUAGACAGAGCCUUUAUAAGGGGAUUAAAUGAGGUCAUAAGAAUGAGUCCCUAACCCAACAGGACUAGUGUCCUGGUAAGAAGAGGGAGGCACACCAGGAGUUUGCCGGCACGGAGGAAAAGCCCUGUGAGGACACGGGGAGGGCAGCUAUCUGUUUACACACCAGGAAGAAAUGUCUCACCAGAUACCAACCCUGGCCGUCUCCUUGAUUUUGGAUUUCCAAUCUCCAGAACUGUGAGAAAAUAAAUUUCUGUUUAAGCCA